GAUAUGGCGUUCUGGGGAAUGAGACCAGCAGUUUAAAACCAAGAGCUGCAUGUCACAGCAUAAAAGACUUAUGCAUCCAAAAACUAGGAACCUGGAGCGGAUUGAAGCUACUCGACCUAAGGGAAAGAGCCUGCGAGAAAUGCACAAGAGCUGCCGGACGGAGGAAGAGAUGGAUCUACUGCUAGAGCUGGAAGAAAUAGUUAAGACUGAGCGCUUCAUUAAUAAACUGAUCGGGGAACAUUUGCCCACAAAAACGGCGAAGCAGAUCAGUGAUAAAAGACAGCAGCUUGCGGCUGGUACCAAGACAGCGGCACUGCCAAGAAGAGCUGCAGCAGUGCAUAUUGGGAAGGCCCCGGUGGAGAAGGAGAGGGGUGAGAUGAUAAGAAUGGAAUAUAGGAAGAUUAUGGCAGAGAAGAUACGAGCAGGUUCCCUGCCGGCAAGCCAAAUGAUCGCAUGUAGAAGGAUCUUAGAGGAUGGCGAGGAUGCCCGGAGAGUCAUUGAAGCAUCGGCAGUAGAGUGGCUGACAGAGCUGGCGGGGAAGAUCGCCAUAGCGAAAUUGAAACAACAGAGGAAGCACCAAGUAAAAUCCACACCUGUGAGGGAGGAAAGGAGGUGGAUGAAGAACAGGGUGGUGAGAAGGGGGUUGUAUCUCCGAUACCAGCGGCUCUUUGAGAUAGAUUGCAAGAAGCUCGCUGGUAUCAUUUUGGAUAGCAUCGAGGCACUGAAGGGCCCCCUUCCAAUGAGCAAGGUAUACGGCUCGUUUUGGAGGAAGUGGGAAGAGGGAUCCCCAUUUGUUGGCUUGGGUGCUUUCCAGAGCGCUGGUAUUGCGGAGAAUUCUGCAUUCAAGAAAAUGAUCUCCCCAAAGGAGGUCUUGAAAUACAUCGUGGAAAUGAAUAAGAACUCUGCUCCCGGACCACACGGCCUCUCCCUGAGGGACGUUAUUAAAAAGGACCCUCAGGGCAGCCAAUUGGCUGAAGUUCAACCUAUGGCUGCUGGCCGGAAGGAUCCCAGAUGGGAUCAAACAAUGUAGAACAAUUUUAAUACCAAAAUCCGUGGAUCCAAGUAAAA
Molecule: long non-coding RNA, 1068 nt
Filed under: Apteryx rowi (Okarito brown kiwi)
Lineage: Eukaryota; Metazoa; Chordata; Aves; Apterygiformes; Apterygidae
Description: lncRNA (ENSARWG00000011766.1)
Source: RNAcentral